AUUGAACGCUGGCGGCAGGCCUAACACAUGCAAGUCGAACGAGUGGCGGACGGGUGAGUAAUGUGGGGGAAACUGCCUGAUGGAGGGGGAUAACUAAGGGAAGCGGAAGAUAAUACCGAAUACACUCAGAUGUGCCCAGAUGGGAUUAGCUAGUCGGUGGGGUAACGGCUCAACAAGGCGACGAGCCCUAGCUGGUCUGAGAGGAUGACCAGCCACACUGGAACUGAGAAACGGCCCAGACUCCUACGGGAGGCAGCAGUGGGGAAUAUUGCACAAUGGGCGCAAGCCUGAUGCAGCCAUGCCGCGUGUAUGAAGAAGGCCUUCGGGUUGUAAAGUACUUUCAGCGGGGAGGCGUUACCCGCAGAAGAAGCACCGGCUAACUCCGUGCCAGCAGCCGCGGUAAUAC
RNAcentral lists this ribosomal RNA (406 nucleotides) under uncultured bacterium. Its description in RNAcentral is "partial 16S ribosomal RNA". It matches the Rfam family "Bacterial small subunit ribosomal RNA", at positions 29 to 526 of the family's 1533-position model. The record is from RNAcentral.